CACGUAGGGGGCAAGCGUUGUCCGGAUUUAUUGGGCGUAAAGAGCUCGUAGGCGGUUCGGUAAGUCGGGUGUGAAACCUCCAGGCUCAACCUGGAGUCGCCACUCGAUACUGCUGUGACUAGAGUCCGGUAGGGGAGCGUGGAAUUCCUGGUGUAGCGGUGAAAUGCGCAGAUAUCGGGAGGAACACCUAUGGCGAAGGCAGCUCGCUGGGACGUUACUGACGCUGAGACGCGAAAGCGUGGGGAGCAAACAGG
Molecule: ribosomal RNA, 254 nt
Filed under: uncultured bacterium
Lineage: Bacteria
Description: partial 16S ribosomal RNA
Rfam family: Bacterial small subunit ribosomal RNA
Source: RNAcentral